GGUUGUGGCUCAGUGGUAGAGUGCUUGCCUGGUGUGUACGAGGCACUGGGUUCAAUCCUCAGCACCA
RNAcentral lists this transfer RNA (67 nucleotides) under Marmota monax (woodchuck). RNAcentral's name for it is "tRNA.Thr". It matches the Rfam family "tRNA". Rfam says of the family: Transfer RNA (tRNA) molecules are approximately 80 nucleotides in length. Their secondary structure includes four short double-helical elements and three loops (D, anti-codon, and T loops). Further hydrogen bonds mediate the characteristic L-shaped molecular structure. tRNAs have two regions of fundamental functional importance: the anti-codon, which is responsible for specific mRNA codon recognition, and the 3' end, to which the tRNAs corresponding amino acid is attached (by aminoacyl-tRNA synthetases). tRNAs cope with the degeneracy of the genetic code in two manners: having more than one tRNA (with a specific anti-codon) for a particular amino acid; and 'wobble' base-pairing, i.e. permitting non-standard base-pairing at the 3rd anti-codon position. The record is from RNAcentral. Lineage: Eukaryota; Metazoa; Chordata; Mammalia; Rodentia; Sciuridae.